Molecule: non-coding RNA, 217 nt
Filed under: Roseateles depolymerans
Lineage: Bacteria; Pseudomonadati; Pseudomonadota; Betaproteobacteria; Burkholderiales; Sphaerotilaceae
Source: RNAcentral
AACAUCCGCCUCGCCUUGGGUGCGCGCCUUCCUGCCGGAAUGCGCGUUAAACGGGAAACCGGUGACGCGGGCGGAUCGAACGAUCCGGCCGCCAGUCCGGUGCAGCCCCCGCUGCUGUAAGCCAGACGACCCUGCCACCAGCCACUGUGAAUCUCACGGGAAGGCGCAGGAGAGGAUGACGGCGAGCCAGAAUACCGGCCCGAUGGCAGAUGUCAGC